AUCUGCAUGCACAUUCCUCGCCGCCACAUUCCAGGGCUUAACCCUGCCGCUCCCGCGGCACGCUGCGCCUGCCGGGGCGCCGGCCCGAGUCAGGGGCGGAAGGGAGCCGCGGGCCAGGUGGGAGGGAAGACGGAGAAGGAAUGCGCUGCUCGCUGCUUCCCCUUGACCCCAAAUAUCUCCCUACAGCCGACCACUUGGGGUUUUAGAGCUUCGGGACGGGAAAGGCGGCUAAAGAGAAGUCUCCGCAGCCCUCUCCACCGCCUUCCGACUUCUAGGGAAACCACAAGACUUUCGAGAGGAAAGGGGUGGGGAGGCUCUCUUCGGAAGACAAGGUCCCAGCAAACCGAGAAGGCACAAAGGCUCUCCCGCUCCCCCUCGGACCCCGGGGCGUUCCGGGCGGUGGGAAAGUGUGAAAAGCAGAGCCAGCGCUCGAAAGCGCGUCAGUGGCGCGUCCGGGGCGGUGUCGCCCCCGGGGCCUCUGCAGGGCGCCCGGCCCUCCGUAGGGCGCCCGGCCCUCCGUGACCUCAGCCUCGCGGCGGAAAGCGAAGGCGGAUCCCGCGGUCCGAGGGCGCCGCGACAUGCCUGCCCCGGUGCCCCGCUGCGCGGGAGAAACUCGGGUCAGAUUCGGAAAAGCCACUGCACCCCCCCUCCCCCCACACCCCCCGCCGCGGCCGUCGUCGUCGUUGUCGUCGUCGUCCGCCGCGCGCGGGCCUGAGGCGCUCCACACGGGGGCCCUGCGCUGGACGUGCACGCGCCCGGGAGCCAGCCCCUUACGUCCGCCCGCGCCCCGGGAAGUCCCCCGCCCGCGCCCCGGGAAGUCCCCCACCCGGAGCCCCGCCGAGGCCCAGAAGGUGUGGGCGAGCCCGCUGGCAGGAAAACGCGGCGGCCUGGCGGCCAGGCUUUCCUAGACCCUGGAUGUGUCCGGGGAGGAACGUGGACUUUCUCUCCUUCUACAAGUAUUUAUUUAUUCAGCAGCUACUACGCCCUGGUCGGCCCUGAGGAGGGUCCGGACGUCGGGCUCCGGGCUGGACGGUUCCAUGAGCCGCAGGCCUGGCAGGGCUCGGACACACAGCAUUUGUGCCCCCAGCCCCUCGGUCUGGGAGGGAGCCUCCCAGUCCCCAGACUCCUCUCCAGCCAGGUCUACACCACCGUCCCAUUCAUAUUCUUCUGGGUUACUAAGCAGCUGCUUUUAGAGUAAAAACAAAAAACAAAAUAAAAAAAACGGAGGAAGACCCGGAGAUCAUUCACCUUUUGGUGUGAAUUCGCUUAAUCCUGCCGCCUAAUUUGUAAAGACUUCCCCACCUUGUGCGGGACGCAGCGCACAGCAAGGGCUUUCAGGGGGUUUGGAACAACGUCCGCCUCCCUUCCUGGGUGCACAGACCGGUCUUCCUCGUUUACACCCAGGAAACUAGGCUUCGCCUGUAACAAAGGGAAGCCCCCGCUUCCAGGUCCUGUGUUCAGCCCCACUCCAUUGAUAAGGAAGUGAUCACACAAGGCAAGCUUCUCCUGUUCAGGGAAAACCCAGGAAAUUCUGUGGCCUGUGCUCUCCCCAUGCUCCUGCUGCUGCCCUGACCAAGCCUAGUGCUUCCCCAUGUGGCCCCACGUGCUGUAGUGUGUUCCCUUCUUUUGGAAAAUUUUAUGUGGAGUGAUUAUGCCUUUCAAACAUCCAGUAUUCUUUUUUGUUUGUUUCUUUGUUUGUUUUUGUUUUUUUUGCUGUACGUGGGCCUCUCACUGCUGUGGCCUCUCC
This is a long non-coding RNA of Aethalodelphis obliquidens (Pacific white-sided dolphin), 1747 nucleotides long. RefSeq lists it as uncharacterized. NCBI's taxonomy places the organism in Eukaryota, Metazoa, Chordata, Mammalia, Artiodactyla, Delphinidae. The record is from RefSeq and is a predicted model, not a curated record. The transcript has 4 exons.